Non-coding RNA from Epinephelus lanceolatus (giant grouper), 812 nucleotides. Lineage: Eukaryota; Metazoa; Chordata; Actinopteri; Perciformes; Serranidae. The record is from RefSeq and is a predicted model, not a curated record.
CGGGUACUGUCCAAAACUUCACCUGCAUAGCAGAAAAUACAGCUGUUGGACGUUCUGCUGAGGCCACCAAGAUGGUAGAAGUUAAAGGUGUUCCUGUCUCUGGUUCAGAGGCUGUGCCGCUCUGUGGACUGUUAACAAUGAUCGUCAGCGUGGGACUGCUGGUGCUUUUUGAUCCAUAGAGCUUAAACCUUUUUAAGCUUUAAUGGUUGUUUUUGCUGUUUUUGAAAUGUAUUUAUUUGCCUUUCUCUCUCCCAUAACACUAUGUUUAGUUUACAAUAUAAUAAUGAUAUAAUCUUCAUUCAUAAACCGCUUCUCAAAACAGAGUUACAAAGUGCUUUACAUGUCAAUAAUUAAAACAGACAAGGCAUGAAAACUUUUAAAAGAACUAAUAAAAACACAUGGUAUUUAAAAACUUAGGAAAUGACAGUCUAAAUGAACUUAAAACUUAAGUAGGAUCAGGGAAGGCUCUCUGAUUUUAAGUAUUUUUUAAGAAGGGACUUAAUCACUGACUCUAGGCUGUUCCAGUACAUCCUGGUGUGUACGGCACUACCAGGUCGGAGACAUAACUGGGAGAGGGACCAUGAAGAGCCUUAAAAGUAAUCAGUAAAACCUUAAAAUCUAUUCUACAACAUACUGGGAGCCAGUGUAAGGAGGCUAAAGCUGGAGGGGUGCUAUCAUGUUUAAACACACUGGUUUUUCCAUUUUAAUACACCAGCUUCAUGUCUUCAUCAAAUAUUGUGUACCAUGAAAUCCUGUAAAUAUGAGUAACAAAAUAACUGUUUUAUUAAGUCAUGAAACAAAUUGAAAUGAAA